This 20-nucleotide unclassified non-coding RNA is filed under the name Mus musculus (house mouse). Its description in RNAcentral is "oocyte_clustered_small_RNA4123". The record is from RNAcentral. Lineage: Eukaryota; Metazoa; Chordata; Mammalia; Rodentia; Muridae.
UACAAGCAUACAUCCCAGGA